GAAGAGUAUCAACGGACCUGUAUAGUCAGUAAGAAUUGAGGUUGAGCUGACCAGAGACAAGGGGUUAAAAAAAAAUGUGAGCCACUGUAGCAGCAUUCACUGUGGUCUUAAGAAGACUGUGUGCUAUUAACAAAAACCUAGGAUUUGUAAAGAGUCAAGACCAGGUUUAGACAGAAGAAGAAAGACAACCACAUUGUCUAAUGAUUCCUUGCCUGAAAAGCUCAUGAUGAAAAAAGAGUAAAGAAGAGCCACCACAGAGGGGAGAAUGUUCUAGCGUGUCCAGAAUCACGGAAGCAAAGGCAGAGGAGCUUUUCACACUGUCUUCAAUGAGGAGCAAGGCUUCCGGCAUGUUAAUGGGAAGUUCUACCAGUUCAUUACUGACUGAGUUUGCAGUGAGGGAACCAAAUCCUGGUCUUUGACCAAACAUGGCGAGCACUUUGUAGAAGAAGUCACAGCAAAGGAAGACUGGAGAAAUGCAGUUCUGGAGGGAGAAGGCUGCUG
Long non-coding RNA from Mastomys coucha (southern multimammate mouse), 501 nucleotides. RefSeq lists it as uncharacterized. The record is from RefSeq and is a predicted model, not a curated record. The transcript has 4 exons. Lineage: Eukaryota; Metazoa; Chordata; Mammalia; Rodentia; Muridae.